RNAcentral lists this ribosomal RNA (498 nucleotides) under uncultured bacterium. RNAcentral's name for it is "partial 16S ribosomal RNA". It matches the Rfam family "Bacterial small subunit ribosomal RNA", at positions 29 to 523 of the family's 1533-position model. The record is from RNAcentral.
AUUGAACGCUGGCGGCAUGCUUUACACAUGCAAGUCGAACGGUAACAGGCCGCAAGGUGCUGGCGAGUGGCGAACGGGUGAGUAAUGCAUCGGAACGAGCCCAGUCGUGGGGGAUAACGCAGCGAAAGCUGUGCUAAUACCGCAUACGAACUAUGGAUGAAAGCGGGGGACCGUAAGGCCUCGCGCGAUUGGAGCGGCCGAUGUCAGGUUAGGUAGUUGGUGGGGUAAAGGCUCACCAAGCCAACGAUCUGUAGCUGGUCUGAGCGGACGACCAGCCACACUGGGACUGAGACACGACCCAGACUCCUACGGGAGGCAGCAGUGGGGAAUUUUGGACAAUGGGCGCAAGCCUGAUCCAGCAAUGCCGCGUGCAGGAAGAAGGCCUUCGGGUUGUAAACUGCUUUUGUACGGAACGAAAAGGUUUGGGUUAAUACCCUGGGCCGAUGACGGUACCGUAAGAAUAAGCACCGGCUAACUACGUGCCAGCAGCCGCAGUAA